GCCGACGUGGUGGAACUGGUAGACACGCCGUCUUGAGGGGGCGGUGACUUAGGUCGUGCGAGUUCGAGUCUCGCCGUCGGCACCA
RNAcentral lists this transfer RNA (85 nucleotides) under Burkholderiales bacterium. RNAcentral's name for it is "tRNA-Leu". It matches the Rfam family "tRNA". From Rfam's summary of the family: Transfer RNA (tRNA) molecules are approximately 80 nucleotides in length. The record is from RNAcentral. Lineage: Bacteria; Pseudomonadati; Pseudomonadota; Betaproteobacteria; Burkholderiales.